This is an RNA transcript of Vicia villosa (hairy vetch), 1695 nucleotides long. RefSeq lists it as uncharacterized. The record is from RefSeq and is a predicted model, not a curated record. NCBI's taxonomy places the organism in Eukaryota, Viridiplantae, Streptophyta, Magnoliopsida, Fabales, Fabaceae. The transcript has 3 exons.
CCAACCAAACUCGAUGGCUCGACAAUUUGGCUUCAACGAAAUGCUACCUAAAUCUUUGUACUCGUGGCCUACUAACAUCCGCUGGUCGGGACGUAAAUUUACAACCCCAGCAUACAUUGACUACCUCAAGUUUUAGAAUAACCAACACCUUGAACUUCCUACGUUCAAAUUCCAACAUUCUUUUCCCACUACCGAAGAAAUUGAUACAUGGUUGUCAAAAUAUUAUGAGAAUUCACUUUCAGUGCCAACAUUUCUUCAAAGGUUCGCAACUGCAUUUACUUUCCUGGAGAAUAACUCGAAGCUCAAAACAGGUAUGCCUUACUAACCAAUUUAUUUUCUGCCUUCACAAUUUUUUCUUACUCCAUCCUUUGCAGACCAAGAAACUAAAACUCAAGGAGACAAGGUCGAUGGUGCGUCAACACUUAUCGAUGCCGAAGGCAAUAAACCCAAAAGGUCAAAAACAUGCUCGAGGCUCAUCUACUGCCAUUAACCAAUCCAAGAAGAAGAAAACUACUGAUGCCCCAAAAGCACAUGUAUGUAUUAUAUUUUCCUUAUCUUUUAAGUUUCGAUGGUUAUUGGUAUUAAUCUAUCUCCAAUUUGCUUAGUUUUUACCAAAAUUGCAUGAGAAACUAGUUGAAGAAGACUCUUAUGAAAGUGAGCACACUCACAUCUUUUCUAAUCCUGAAGUCCCAACACCCACCAAACAAAAGGGUGGCAAAAGCAAGAAAACUGUCCCCUAGAAAAAAGUUCCCUCUCAGGGUACUACAUCUUCAAUUCUGGAGCCAGUUGAGGAAGCAAACCAAAAUCUGGCUACCCCCACCAAGGAAAUAAACUCUAAACAAACAAUUUAUGGGGACAAAGAAACUCCACAUAAAACCACUAAGGCACAACCAACAAAAAAAAUUGGAGGAACAACUUGGCGACCUUCAAGUAAAUACCGAAAACAUAAGUGAUUUGAGCCCCAAAAAAUUUGAUGAUUUUGACACUGAUACCGGCUUGACUCAUGACAAUCUUCAAACAACGCAUGAAGAAGUUGACACAUGGCCAAAGAAAUUUGUGAUCAAGGACAUCUCACCUGAAGGUCAAACCAAACAACCAACUCCUGUCGAAGAGCAGCCUUUUCCCCUAUUGUUUAGGUGAUGUAACUCUGUCAUAUAAGUUUUGAGAUUUUUUACCUAGAAUUUUGACUAAUUUGGAAUAGUUUUGGUCAAAUUAAAGCAGAAGUCAAGACGGUUGUGUAAAUUUCAUUGUACCACCUAGUUACUCUUACCAGACAUCUUAACAAUGUUUAUCUAUUGAGGAUGUUAUGGUGGUGUAGCGUAAAUCUAAAAAGAUACACAAAAGCAUGGAUAGUUUAACAGAAUUCUGACACAAUAGGUACAGGUUACAAAAUGGCGCAAUUAUGUGUAGAUAUCCUUGCGACCAGUUGAGAUAUUGACGCGAAGACGACUUAAACCAUGUGUAUCCAAGAUGAUUAAUGAUUAGAUUGUGCCACAAUUUGGUGUGUUAAAAAAUUACUCCAUGAAAGCAAAACUUUUUUUUUUUGCAAUGAUUCAAAAUUUUGUGGUAGAGAUUACGACUGCAAGGAUUCAAGAGACAUAAAUUAAGGCUUCUUCUACACCGAUGAAGCUAUUACUUCCCCGUUGAUUUAUGUAUAAUUUUUCGAACUCAUUAAUUAUGAUUAUACAAAAUAUG